Molecule: transfer RNA, 76 nt
Filed under: Bacteroidales bacterium
Lineage: Bacteria; Pseudomonadati; Bacteroidota; Bacteroidia; Bacteroidales
Description: tRNA-Asp
Rfam family: tRNA
About the family: Transfer RNA (tRNA) molecules are approximately 80 nucleotides in length. Their secondary structure includes four short double-helical elements and three loops (D, anti-codon, and T loops). Further hydrogen bonds mediate the characteristic L-shaped molecular structure. tRNAs have two regions of fundamental functional importance: the anti-codon, which is responsible for specific mRNA codon recognition, and the 3' end, to which the tRNAs corresponding amino acid is attached (by aminoacyl-tRNA synthetases). tRNAs cope with the degeneracy of the genetic code in two manners: having more than one tRNA (with a specific anti-codon) for a particular amino acid; and 'wobble' base-pairing, i.e. permitting non-standard base-pairing at the 3rd anti-codon position.
Source: RNAcentral
AGCUUCGUGGAGCAGUGGAGUGCUCGUCAGUCUGUCACACUGAAGAUCGCGGGUUCGAUCCCCGUCGAAGCUGCCA